AGAACGAACGCUGGCGGCAGGCCUAACACAUGCAAGUCGAGCGCUGUAGCAAUACAGAGCGGCGCACGGGAGAGUAACGCGUGGGAAUCUACCUUUUGGUUCGGAAUAACACCGGGAAACUGGUGCUAAUACCGGAUAAGCCCUUCGGGGGAAAGAUUUAUUGCCAAAAGAUGAGCCCGCGUUGGAUUAGCUAGUUGGUGAGGUAAAAGCUCACCAAGGCAACGAUCCAUAGCUGGUCUGAGAGGAUGAUCAGCCUCACUGGGACUGAGACACGGCCCAGACUCCUACGGGAGGCAGCAGUGGGGAAUAUUGGACAAUGGGGGAAACCCUGAUCCAGCCAUGCCGCGUGAAUGAUGAAGGCCUUCGGGUUGUAAAGUUCUUUUGACAGGGAAGAUGAUGACGUACCUGUAGAUAAGCUCCGGCUAACUUCGCGCCAGCAGCCGC
Molecule: ribosomal RNA, 444 nt
Filed under: uncultured bacterium
Lineage: Bacteria
Description: SSU rRNA
Rfam family: Bacterial small subunit ribosomal RNA
Source: RNAcentral